AACGAACGCUGGCGGCAGGCCUAACACAUGCAAGUCGAGCGGACCUUUCGGGGUCAGCGGCGGACGGGUGAGUAACGCGUGGGAAUAUGCCCUUCUCUACGGAAUAGUCCUGGGAAACUGGGGGUAAUACCGUAUACGCCCUUUGGGGGAAAGAUUUAUCGGGGAAGGAUUAGCCCGCGUUGGAUUCGGUAGUUGGUGGGGUAAUGGCCUACCAAGCCGACGAUCCAUAGCUGGUUUGAGAGGAUGAUCAGCCACACUGGGACUGAGACACGGCCCAGACUCCUACGGGAGGGAGCAGUGGGGAAUCUUAGACAAUGGGGGCAACCCUGAUCUAGCCAUGCCGCGGGAGUGAUGAAGGCCUUAGGGUUGUAAAGCUCUUUCAGCUGGGAAGAUAAUGACGGUACCAGCAGAAGAAGCCCCGGCUAACUACGUG
RNAcentral lists this ribosomal RNA (433 nucleotides) under uncultured bacterium. RNAcentral describes it as "partial 16S ribosomal RNA". It matches the Rfam family "Bacterial small subunit ribosomal RNA", at positions 29 to 507 of the family's 1533-position model. The record is from RNAcentral.